Rhineura floridana is the source of this 3395-nucleotide long non-coding RNA. RefSeq lists it as uncharacterized. The transcript is spliced from 4 exons. Lineage: Eukaryota; Metazoa; Chordata; Lepidosauria; Squamata; Rhineuridae. The record is from RefSeq and is a predicted model, not a curated record.
CAGAAGUUGAGUGAGUGUAUAAUUUUCAGCAGCAGCAAUAUUGCCUUUCUACAAUAACAUACCAGGAAAUCUAGAACUGAAGAUCACAGCAAGAUCUUGCAUUAUUGUCUGCUGUGGAUAGGGUUGCACUUCCUCUGAAAGAGCAGGUCCAUAGAUGAUAUCUGGCUGGUCACUGUGAGAACAGGAUGGUGGACUAGAUGGGCCUCUAGUCUUAUCCAGUAGGACUCUUGAUGUUCUUGAGCUAUAGAUCAAAGGGUUCAGCAUGGGGAUCACCAUUGUGUAGAACACGGAGACCAUCUUGUCCACAUCUAUUGACGAGUUGGACCUGGAGCUGGGACGGACAUAUAUAAAGAAGAGUGUCCCAUAAAAGAUUGACACAACCGUGAGAUUUGUUCCUGUGUGUUGAUGAGGAUGGACAUGCUGUUGGAUAUCUACUUUGCACUGGAUUCUCUGCCACAAAUGCGUUUUCCAGGGAGAAGAUGGCUUAAUGAUGGUUUCAUUAUGACACCUUACAGAUACUUUGGUAUUGCUGAACUGCCUGAUGCAAACAACUUAAAAUCUUUGACAAUGUGCUAUUCUGAAGGGACUUCAUAUUGAGCAUUUGGAACUGGGGACUUUGUCUUCCAAAUAAUUCAAAUCUCAAGUGACAGUAACAUUAAUUCCACUGAAGUGUCAUUUCAAAACAAAAACACUGCUUCGAAUGUAGGCAAAAGGUGACGAUGCAGUUGGUACAAUGGGCAGAACUAAUGGGCCACACAAUCCAGCAGAGAGCUGAAUUACCUUAAGCCCACUGGUAUCAACACUCAUAAGUGUGGCUUGUUUUGCUGGAUUGUAGUCCUGUAGUCUAAGCAGGAGGAUAUUCCUUUCACUUAUGGAAAUAAGCAUCUGCUAGCUGCUCCCAUACCCCAAGUGGGGCACGAAUUAAAAAUGGAAAUAAGGCUGACAUCUUUAUUAACUUACAGGAUCUCUACAACAUAACAUAAUUUAAUUGCCCAUUCCCAGAAGGGUGCCUUCUUCAAAGCCUUAGAAUCCAAGUUUAGAACUAGGGGAUGUCUCCUGCUGUUUGCCUUGUUUGGUUGACCCCAUCCUGUCUCAGAUCCUUGAAGUAGUCCUGAAACUGAUCAUUGUUCAUCAUUCCACCCCACUGAAGUAUGUGUCAAGGAGUUUUCUGGAAGUAUCAUCAGUCCAUAAACAAUAUAUUGGUAUAUUGGUACCCAUCAGUUCCCCCCACUUUUCCCUCCAGCUGGAAAGCUGCAAGUGGCUGGUUUGGAUUAGGGAUGGAAACUGCUUGGUGGUACCAGUUCAGAUCACAUUCCACUGAAAUAGCAGGUGGUUAUGGUCUGUUUUCAUUAUUUUUCUGCUAUAAUAUGCUUUUACAGUUUCAUUUUUUUAUCCUGAAAAAUAUUGUUCUCAUUAUUUCAAACAAUAUUUUCCUGUUAGAAAGGAAAGUGGCUUUCUCUCUGCCCCAUGUCCACCCACGCAAUCUCACCCAGCCAUAGUAGAAAGUAAGAGAUUGGCUGGUCAGUUAUGGUGAGAGAAAGGAAGAUAUCACCUAGUCAGUUUCAUGUUAGCAAAGCAAAGACUCAUGCUGGUCAGUUUAAUUUUAGCAAAGCAAAGGUGCUGAUCCAUAUAAGUUAGCAAAGCAAAGAUGCAUGCUGGUCAAUUUCAUGUUAGCAUAGCAACACAGCACAGCAGUACAAUAAUAAUAAUAUAUUCAAUACAUUUUUUAAAAAACAACCCGGUGUUGGGAAAAGCUGUGGAAGUUCACAGCAUUCAGGAUCAGUCCACAAAGAUAGUGAACAUGUGAACUAUGGGGAACUCUGUUGCCAAGUUCGAAUUUAGAGAAAUUCUUGCCCACCUCUAGUUUGUGUAAGCCCGUCUUCAUAAUUUGAUGUCACAAGGUGCUCGCCACUGUACCAUACUCAUUACUCCUCUCUCUCCACCCCCUCCUUAACUGCACAGGAAGCCAGCCUAGCUUAGUACCUUCACUUCAUCUGUUAUAAAAUCCCACAGAAACUGUUGCAGAUCCCUCAAUAGCAUAUCACAACUCUCCAGGGAAGGAUGAACUCAGUGGAGGCUGAUCCAUUGGGGUAAGUGGGGCACUGCCUCACCAAUAUCAGUUUGUCUUCAGCCAGGCCCCUGGUUGCCUGCCUACCUUCUUAUUUACAACCAGUCUAGGAAUUAGCACUGGCUGUCAGCCUCUUCCUCUUUCUUCUCAGUGUUGCCGUUGUAGAACUCAGGAGUAGAAUGGAGACAAAACUAGAAUUAGUUGCCUCUCUCUCUGUCAUUGGCUCUGCCUUCACCUGCGGUUGGGGUCCUAGCCUUCCACCCCACCAGUCCCAGUGGGCACCAGCCACCACUGCAUACAAUUCAUCAUCUGUGAAGAGGUGAGGCAGUGAGUUCUUGAUAUCAGGAUUGGUGAUGUGUCCUCCCUCAUAGCUAUCACUAAUCCAAGACCAUAUUCACUUUCCUUCUGCCCCAGUCUCACCAGUUAGACAUAGCUGUUCCCCUCCACACCCUACAGACAUAUCUGGUGCACAGCUCUGAGCCAGCUCCAAAUCCCUGUGAGCUUGCAGUCUCAAAGACCAGCUCACCCAGUGCCCCAGAUUUUUCUCACUGAGGUAUAUCAUCAUGUUUUAGGGGUGCAAACUGAUUGCUACACAUUGUUAGAAGAAUGGCAUAGUAGGGGCAAAUAAAAACCGGAAGACAUCUAGAUAUACAACCAAGGAGCUUAGUGUGGAAUACCCCAUUCCCCCUGUCCCAUAAUUCUUGUCUUACACCCCUGAUUUAUGGGGUGCUUAUUGCUUUUGUAAACUGCUGGCCUAGUAAUGGAGUCUGAAAUGUUCUGUUUAGAGCAGUAAGCUCAAAUUGCAAGCUUUCUGACCCUGGGUAGAAAGAAGCUUGUUUGUCUCAGCCGAUGCUUACAGCAGAGGCUGGGAAAGGCUGUUUAAUUAAUCAAAACAAUGAACUCAUCAGGGAGGGGGAAAGUCUUCACAGCUGCAUUCUCAGCUCUUGUGAGCACAACUUCAAGGUCACUGUGAGAGAAACAAACAUCAGAAAUGUGAGAUCUAAAACUUGCCCCUGGGAAAGAUAAAAAUCUCACAAGUAUAGGUACUACCUAUGCCCCCUCCCAGAGAGUCUUUUGGGUAUAAAUAGAGGGCCAUUGAUCUGGGCAGAUAAGCCUCAACACUGACUAGAAGCCUCAACACUGGCCUGCAGGGAAGAGGGGUGCAGUGUAAAUCCAAACAGGGCUAUAAAUGGGAUCUCUCUGCCUGUCUGUUGACAGGGGCUUUCAGCAGGGAAAACGGAGAAUGUGAGAUAAAAACUGUGCUCAUCAUUAGUUGCUGUAAGUGUUUUAGUGCCUGCCUGCUGCAACCAAUAGCUUUUGCUUCAAU